UCUCCCUCAUCUUCACUGCCGCCGGACCGGCGGGCCGGCCGCCCAUGUCAUCCCAAGGGCAAGAUCCCUCCUCUAUCCGGCCGCCGUGCCUCCGCCCACGUAUUCCCCUCCGUCCCCUCUCCCUCUUUGACCACCAUCGCUUUUACUUAGGAAGUUAUUGGCGAUCUGUCCUCUUCUUUCUCCUGAGGCGGCUGCCGGCGCAGAUGAGAAGCUCAGCGCCCUCCUCUCCUUCCUGAGGUGGGUGGCACCGCGGUAGUCUGUCUCUCCGCGGCUGUUGGCGCGGUAGUCUGAUCCUCCCUGGUGUUGCUGAUUCGUCAUCUUCUUGCGUGUGGUCGCCAGCAGACUGGUUGGAUUGAAGUGGCGGUCAUACCUUGCCGCAGUGGUUCUUGCCUCUCCCGGCCUAAUCCUUCGGCCACUUCAACCGGCGAGGUUGCACUCAUGGAGGGCGCCAAUCAGAGAUAACCUACACGCCCUCUACUCGGCUUCGGCUAUGGGCAACACCUUCGUGUGCCACUACAUGGCCUCCAGAUCCCACUCAUAGAUGGAGUCAUGGAGGCAGUGGCGGACCAGUAAGCUACCUUUUUCUCGGGUCUCCCUCUCCUCCCUGCACGCAGAUAAGAAAAAGAGAAGCACACACAUGUGGAAAAUUGCAAGGAAGAAAAAGAAAAUGUAGACCCUCCAUGAGAGCAAGCAGAAACAAGAAUUGUUAAAAACACAAAGAGGUAGCCAUACCGUACAUGCUGGAUGAUCAUCGGAGGAACAUAGUUCUCCGAUUCCAUGUAGGCAGUUCUGCAUUUGACAUAGAACCUUCUUUUUGGAAAUUCUCAAUGCUUAUUGAAUGCCAGCUAUAUGUUGUUUUAAUGCAUUUUUUGUCACUGCGGAUGCUAUCGUACAUGCUACAGUCUAUCUUAGGUAUUACUUUGACAUUUUUCCUGCUUCUAGGGAAAAGGAUGUAUGCCAAUUCAACCUUAUAUGUACUACUAAUAAUAUAACUAUAUGGUGCUUACAGGCAGUUCAAUACAUACAGAAAUGAGAUAUUCAUAUUGUGGGUUUUGCUACUUUGUUCAUUUGUGGUCCUUUAGCCAAGAGGAGUCAUGGUUCUGAUCUUUCUCAGUACUAUGCUAAACAAUUGGUGGAAUGUGUAUCAUGUACGGUUGAGGUCUUUUAAUCCAAGGCUACCAUUAUGUACCAGAAGAAUACCCAGAAAAUCACAAGGUUAGAUACUAAGUUGUGUACUUCAGUUUCACACUCAAUCAUUUAUUUUGAGAGCUGAGAUUUCAUUUGUUUGGAGACCUCUGUGUUAGUUCCUAUUAUUUGCUCCCCUAUAGGGCUUCCCUCUGAAACUUUUCAUUCACUAAUGAUUGGAGCGGCUCUAGCAAGGUAAUUAGUUUGUUAUGCUUCAAAUAUCAUAUCAUGUACAAUAUAAGCAAAGUAGAUACCUCUGUAUUAAGAGAUCUCAGGAUUCCAAAGUGGGAACCCUACAAACUUAAUUGUCCAUUUUCAGCGAGCAGUGAAAUUGUUUUGUAGUCCAUUGCUACAAGCUGCUAAUGCAUUCUAUUAUUAGUUACUUGACUAAAUUAUGUUCAAAAUUGUUGCCGGUAAAUUACAAUGCUGCUAACAUUUUUUAUUUGUGUAUUCCCCAUAUUUUGGUGUCAGAGAGUUGUUUUUGGAUGAUUAGUGUUGCGAAGUGCAUGAUAAUUAUAAAUUUAUGAUAUUUCUUUCCCGAGCAAUAUUGUUGUUGAAGACAGCAGUACAGGCGGCGCGGCGAUGGAAAAAUAUGGGGUCGAUGAUAGACCAAAGGGUCCUGAUUUUGUAUGAGAAGACAUUCAAAAUUAUCGAUGACCAGAUGAUUUUCAGGGACAUUUUGGAAGCUGCUACAGAGUGGUACUUUUCAGGAAAAUCCUUGCGGUCAUAGAUGACCGACCAGGAUGUCAUAUCAAAUGUAGAGCCACAAACUCUACACAGUGGUUGAGAUCUUGCAACUAUCUCGGAGAAGUUGAUGCAAAGCUGAAGAAGAAUAUGAAGAUUACUGAUAAAGCAAUCGGGUAUCUUAGAAAUGCCCAAUAAGAGAUGACAAAAGUGGUGAACCAUAGAUGGCAGGAGUGUUGAACUGUAAUUUGUGAGGAUACUGAACUAGAACUAGAGGUUAGUUCCAUGUUGUCAUUUCCAGAUCACAAAUAUUUGGGAUGUUUUGUUCAAGAGAGCUGAACCAUGGAUUUCUUGCUAUUUAUUGUAUGCUGUGUUGAAAUACUCUGAGCCAAGGAAAUAACAGUACUAUAUAUAUGCUUUGUUUGA
This is a long non-coding RNA of Lolium rigidum, 2295 nucleotides long. RefSeq lists it as uncharacterized. The transcript has 3 exons. NCBI's taxonomy places the organism in Eukaryota, Viridiplantae, Streptophyta, Magnoliopsida, Poales, Poaceae. The record is from RefSeq and is a predicted model, not a curated record.